AAGUCGUAACAAGGUCUCCGUAGGUGAACCUGCGGAGGGAUCAUUAACACUCACUUAAUUAUCCAAUACCAAAACCCAACGUGAACUUUUCCCCUCCCUGUAUAUUAGCAAUAAUAUAUAGGCUAACCUGCAUAUAUUUCUUUUAAUAUAUGUCCCUUUUAAUUUUUAACCCCUUGGAAACAAAUCGAACUGCAGUUCGCGGCCGAAAGGCGGAACUCUGCUAACACUAAGAUAUGUGCUUUUGAUAUACAAUACACGUAUCUUGGAUCUUAUGAAAUAUAAGAACAACUCUUAACAAUGGAUAUCUUGGUUCUC
This 315-nucleotide unclassified non-coding RNA is filed under the name fungal sp. Its description in RNAcentral is "partial internal transcribed spacer region". The stretch from base 1 to 46 matches the Rfam family "Eukaryotic small subunit ribosomal RNA", at positions 1786 to 1831 of the family's 1831-position model. Lineage: Eukaryota; Fungi. The record is from RNAcentral.